RNAcentral lists this ribosomal RNA (1285 nucleotides) under uncultured Bradyrhizobium sp. Its description in RNAcentral is "bacterial SSU rRNA". It matches the Rfam family "Bacterial small subunit ribosomal RNA", at positions 30 to 1364 of the family's 1533-position model. Lineage: Bacteria; Pseudomonadati; Pseudomonadota; Alphaproteobacteria; Hyphomicrobiales; Nitrobacteraceae. The record is from RNAcentral.
CUAACACCUGCGGCAGGCUUAACACAUGCAAGUCGAGCGGGCGUAGCAUACGUCAGCGGCAGACGGGUGAGUAACGCGUGGGAACGUACCUUUUGGUUCGGAACAACACAGGGAAACUUGUGCUAAUACCGGAUAAGCCCUUACGGGGAAAGAUUUAUCGCCGAAAGAUCGGCCCGCGUCUGAUUAGCUAGUUGGUAGGUAAUGGCCUACCAAGGCGACGAUCAGUAGCUGGUCUGAGAGGAUGAUCAGCACAUUGGGACUGAGACACGGCCAAACUCCUACGGGAGGCAGCAGUGGGGAAUAUUGGACAAUGGGGGCAACCCUGAUCCAGCCAUGCCGCGUGAGUGAUGAAGGCCCUAGGGUUGUAAAGCUCUUUUGUGCGGGAAGAUAAUGACGGUACCGCAAGAAUAAGCCCCGGCUAACUUCGUGCCAGCAGCCGCGGUAAUACGAAGGGGGCUAGCGUUGCUCGGAAUCACUGGGCGUAAAGGGUGCGUANGCGGGUUUUUAAGUCAGGGGGUGAAAUCCUGGAGCUCAACUCCAGAACUGCCUUUGAUACUGAAGAUCUUGAGUCCGGGAGAGGUGGAGUGGAACUGCGAGUGUAGAGGUGAAAUUCGUAAAAUAUUCGCAAGAACACCAGUGGCGAAGCGGCUCACUGGCCCGGUACUGACGCUGAGGCACGAAAGCGUGGGGAGCAAACAGGAUUAGAUACCCCUGGUAGUCCACGCCGUAAACGAUGAAUGCCAGCCGUUAGUGGGUUUACUCACUAGUGGCGCAGCUAACGCUUUAAGCAUUCCGCCUGGGGAGUACGGUCGCAAGAUUAAAACUCAAAGGAAUUGACGGGGGCCCGCACAAGCGGUGGAGCAUGUGGUUUAAUUCGACGCAACGCGCAGAACCUUACCAGCCCUUGACAUGUCAGGACCGGUCGCAGAGAUGUGACCUUCUCUUCGGAGCCUGGAACACAGGUGCUGCAUGGCUGUCGUCAGCUCGUGUCGUGAGAUGUUGGGUUAAGUCCCGCAACGAGCGCAACCCCCGUCCUUAGUUGCUACCAUUUAGUUGAGCACUCUAAGGAGACUGCCGGUGAUAAGCCGCGAGGAAGGUGGGGAUGACGUCAAGUCCUCAUGGCCCUUACGGGCUGGGCUACACACGUGCUACAAUGGCGGUGACAAUGGGAUGCUAAGGGGCGACCCUUCGCAAAUCUCAAAAAGCCGUCUCAGUUCGGAUUGGGCUCUGCAACUCGAGCCCAUGAAGUUGGAAUCGCUAGUAAUCGUGAUCAGCACGCCACGUG